Molecule: long non-coding RNA, 1585 nt
Filed under: Capsicum annuum
Lineage: Eukaryota; Viridiplantae; Streptophyta; Magnoliopsida; Solanales; Solanaceae
Description: long non-coding RNA (CANN_LNC010806)
Source: RNAcentral
AAAAAAUCAAAAUUUCUUGAGAAAAUGAUGGCCAUCACUAAGCACUUUAUUUUCUUCACUCUACUUGCUUUUGUUAUCUUUCCUGCUUAUCAAUGUAAGUAUAAUUAAGAAAAUUCAUAUUUCUUUUUUUUAUGCAUAUAAUAGUUGUUGAAUAUUUUGUCUUUUUUAUUUUUUUUAUUUCUUUAUAUUUUGAAUUUUCUCGAUGAAAAUUCUGAUUCUGUCAUGAUAACCCAGGGGCGAAUCUAUUAAGCCUCGUGAGGGUGCCACGCCACCCACAAACUUCGACAAAAACUCUAUAUAUAUAUAAGCAGGGGUGGAUCUAUUAAGCCUCGUGAGGGUGCCACGCCACCCGCAAACUUCGAUAAGAACUCUCUCUCUCUAUAUAUAUAUAUAUAUAUAAGUACAAAUAUACAGAAUGUAUAGAAAUAAAACAGAUGCCACCUAAUGAAAUAAAGAGGUACUUGGUACAUGGUCAUCUAGUCCACCCAAGGGAUGUGGGUUCAAACCUUGUUGUUGUCUUAAAUUUAGCAUAAAUUCAAUUAUUCUCUUUUUAUUUGUUUUAAAAAACAAUUUGUUAAGUUUGCUACAUAAAUUUAAUUAUGCUCUUUUCAUUCGUUUUUAAAGCCAACUUGUUAAGUUUGCUAUAUAAAUUUAAUUAUGUUCUUUUCAUUUGCUUUUAGUUAUUUUGUUUUUGACUUGUAUUAAUUUAUUUAUUUUUGAAUAAUUUAAUUUAUUAGUUAUUUCUCAUUAAUUAAUUAGUAUUUGUUUGAUAUAAAAUUUAAAAGAUGAAUAAGUUUUGUUUUCUCUCCCAUCAAAUUAAAAAAAAAAUUGUCCAGAUAUUGAUAAACAUAAAAAUAAUUAUACACAAAAUUGAGGUCAAAUAUUGUGAAAAGUCACAAUUUUUUGCCUCUUAAAGAAAGAUAAAUAAGUAAGAAGUUGAUGCAGCCAAAAAAAAAUUCUAAGGAGGUUAAAAAUCUAAAGAAGUAAACACACGAACUAAUCUAAGAAGUUCAGUAUCUAUUAUAUAUACAUAAAAGUAAAUUUAAUCAUAUAUAAAUAAUAUAGUUUUUGGUCGAAGAGGGGCCUUGACCAUAAACUGGUUCUCAUUCAAAAUUUAAAGUCUUCGGUUGAUUUAAUCGAUGAGUCUACUUGGCACCCAAAGACUUAGAAUCCUGAAUCUGCCUCUGCUAUAACCUAAUUAGAGUUUAAUUUGAACCUAAAAUUUCUGAUUGAGAUCAGUGGAGGAAUCAUGUCCAUCUCAUCAUAAUACUUAGUAAUAAAUAAAAUUAAAUUAACUCCUAUUUAUUUAUGUAUGUUGGCUUGUUUAUUUUUCAUAAUUAAUCAUUUAUACAUACAUACAUAUAUAUAUAUAUAUAUAUAUUGGUUUUCAUUUCUAUCUUUUAUUUUAAUGCAGGUGAAAAAUUGAGCAACAAAUAUGGGAGAAAAGAUAGGAUACUUAUUGACCUUGGAAAGUGUUUUCAAUACACAAUAAACAAAUGGUGUUGUGAUUCAACUCUAACACCUUUAUUGUGUUAUGAUUCAAUGGAUAAAUGCAAAAAGAAUUGUCCUCAUUGGCCACCAGCUC